RNAcentral lists this ribosomal RNA (310 nucleotides) under uncultured bacterium. RNAcentral describes it as "bacterial SSU rRNA". It matches the Rfam family "Bacterial small subunit ribosomal RNA", at positions 32 to 332 of the family's 1533-position model. The record is from RNAcentral.
AAUCAACGCUGGCGGCGUGCCUCAGACAUGCAAGUCGAACGAUUAAAGCUCUCUUCGGAGAGUGUAUAGAGUGGCGCACGGGUGAGUAACACGUAAGUAAUCUACCUUUGAGUGGGGAAUAACAGUCGGAAACGACUGCUAAUACCGCAUAAUGCAGCGGCAUCGCAAGAUGACAGUUGUUAAAGGAGCAAUCCGCUUAAAGAGGAGCUUGCGGCAGAUUAGCUUGUUGGUAAGGUAACGGCUUACCAAGGCUACGAUCUGUAUCCGGUCUAAGAGGACGGUCAGACACACUGACACUGAAUAACGGGUC